RNAcentral lists this long non-coding RNA (311 nucleotides) under Homo sapiens (human). RNAcentral describes it as "HSALNT0232720". The record is from RNAcentral. Lineage: Eukaryota; Metazoa; Chordata; Mammalia; Primates; Hominidae.
GUAAUCGCUCCAAAGGAAUUAACAGGAGAGCAGAGAAAUGGGGGGGAGGUGGUGGGGGCCAGGAAUAAAAAAACGAACGAAAGCUUGGGUAGGGAGAAGUAGCCAAUUCUUGUCCCAGGAACCAGUCUGUAAGGCCACAUGGCAGAAAAGAGCUAGGCUCCGCCAUUAAAGAGCCUGGAAAGGGGUGGCCCGGGUAGGGCCAAGCGUAGGAAAAUACCAAACUGGGACAUGUUAAGGAUUUGGGGUUUUAUUCUGCAGGCCACUGAGAGCUAUUAAAGGAUUUUAUGGGAAAGGAUUUGCAUUGUAACAAU